This 802-nucleotide ribosomal RNA is filed under the name Triticum aestivum (bread wheat). RNAcentral describes it as "partial small subunit ribosomal RNA". The record is from RNAcentral. Lineage: Eukaryota; Viridiplantae; Streptophyta; Magnoliopsida; Poales; Poaceae.
AGGUCCCACUUACCAGGUCUAAGGUAGCCUACCUAGACUCGCGUGUCCAUGAACCAAGAAACGUGUUUCGAGGGAACCCAGAUGAGUAAAACGAAAGUCUUAGUGGAAGAGGAAGGAUCCUUACGUUGCUGCGGCUCGGUUUAGAGGGGUAGCACAUCGUCGGCGGAGGACCUGGUUGGGAGAGCUGAAAGAGGUCGAACGGCUGCCACCUCCGCCCGGUCUAGGCCACGGAUCGACCCGGUAACGCGGGUCACCUCUAGGUCUAGGUCGAGGACUGGUAGAACAGUGGCCGCCGGACUAACGGGGCCGCCUGGAGGGGACAAGACUCGACGCUGGAACACGCCUGUUCAAGAGGUUCCAUGAGAGGAGGCUGCAGGUGUCUUGUUGGAACGGGGUAGGAAACAGGAUGGGGUUGGUCGGGUAAGGUGUACAGCGGGCGUGGGGACGCGUAGAUCGAGGCGGUGGACCCUUGCCGCCUCUUAUUUUGAGGUUAGAAGUCCAGACUAGAGAGGGUCGUGUUCUUCGAGCUACUUGUUAUUCGUGAUCAUUGUCUCCGUUUCCGAUAUCGAAAAGAUAAACCGGUUUUUUUUCCGAUAUUGAAAAGACAACACAUGGUAGUUCAUGGUUUUCAACUACGUCAAAGAUCACCGCUACGAACAACUUGCCAGUAAUAAGGUGAGGUAGUAUAAAUCAGAACGGACACUACAUGGUUUUUACUAGGAAAGUACGAUACAUUGUGAACUAUAAAACUGGACCCUAGUACGUUAAACUUUACAUACAUAUCAAUGCUAAACUUCACCUG